Molecule: ribosomal RNA, 492 nt
Filed under: uncultured bacterium
Lineage: Bacteria
Description: partial 16S ribosomal RNA
Rfam family: Bacterial small subunit ribosomal RNA
Source: RNAcentral
AGUGAACGCUGGCGGUAGGCCUAACACAUGCAAGUCGAACGGCAGCACAGUAAGAGCUUGCUCUUACGGGUGGCGAGUGGAGGACGGGUGAGGAAUACAUCGGAAUCUACUUUUUCGUGGGGGAUAAAGUAGGGAAACUUACGCUAAUACCGCAUACGACCUACGGGUGAAAGCAGGGGAACUUCGGACCUUGCGCGAUUGAAUGAGCCGAUGUCGGAUUAGCUAGUUGGCGGGGUAAAGGCCCACCAAGGCGACGAUCCGUAGCUGGUCUGAGAGGAUGAUCAGCCACACUGGAACUGAGAGACGGUCCAGACUCCUACGGGAGGCAGCAGUGGGGAAGAUUGGAAAAUGGGCGCAAGCCUGCUCCAGCCAUACCGCGUGGGUGAAGAAGGCCUUCGGGUUGUAAAGCCCUUUUGUUGGUAAAGAAAAGCAUCAGGUUAAUACCCCGCUGUUCUGACGGUACCCAAAGAAUAAGCACCGGCUAACUUCGUG